UACGAAGGUGGCGAGCGUUGUUCGGAAUUAUUGGGCUUAAAGCGCACGUAGGCGGACUUGUAAGUGUCUUGUGAAAUCCCACGGCUUAACCGUGGAAUGGCUCGGCAUACUACAAGUCUUGAGAUAUGUAGGGGCAAGCAGAACUCUUAGUGGAGCGGUGGAAUGCGUAGAUAUUAAGAGGAAUGCCAGUGGUGAAGACGGCUUGCUGGGCAUAUUCUGACGCUGAGGUGCGAAAGCGUGGGGAGCGAACGGG
RNAcentral lists this ribosomal RNA (253 nucleotides) under uncultured bacterium. RNAcentral describes it as "partial 16S ribosomal RNA". It matches the Rfam family "Bacterial small subunit ribosomal RNA", at positions 524 to 776 of the family's 1533-position model. The record is from RNAcentral.